GGAAGGUGCAAGCGUUAAUCGGAAUUACUGGGCGUAAAGCGUGCGUAGGCGGUUCGUUAAGUCUGUUGUGAAAGCCCCGGGCUCAACCUGGGAAUGGCAAUGGAUACUGGCGAGCUAGAGUGUGAUAGAGGAUGGUGGAAUUCCCGGUGUAGCGGUGAAAUGCGUAGAGAUCGGGAGGAACAUCAGUGGCGAAGGCGGCCAUCUGGAUCAACACUGACGCUGAGGCACGAAAGCGUGGGGAGCAAACAGGAUUAGAUACCCUGGUAGUCCACGCCCUAAACGAUGCGAACUGGAUGUUGGUCUCAACUCGGAGAUCAGUGUCGAAGCUAACGCGUUAAGUUCGCCGCCUGGGGAGUACGGCCGCAAGACUG
RNAcentral lists this ribosomal RNA (371 nucleotides) under uncultured bacterium. RNAcentral's name for it is "bacterial SSU rRNA". It matches the Rfam family "Bacterial small subunit ribosomal RNA", at positions 527 to 896 of the family's 1533-position model. The record is from RNAcentral.